GAGUUUGAUGCCUGGCUCAGAACGUACGCUGGCGGCACGCCUAACACAUGCAAGUCGAACGAAGUAGCAAUACUUAGUGGCAGACGGGUGAGUAACAUGUGGGUAUCUGCCCUUUGGCCUGGAAUAACACGAGGAAACUUGUGCUAAUACCGGAUAAGUCUUUACGGAGAAAGCUUUAUGCACCAUUGGAUGAGCCUGCACUUGAUUAGUUUGUUGGUGGGGUAAUGGCCUACCAAGACUGUGAUCAAUAGCUGAUUUGAGAGGAUGAUCAGCCACAUUGGGACUGAGACACGGCCCAAACUCCUACGGGAGGCAGCAGUGGGGAAUCUUGCACAAUGGAGGAAACUCUGAUGCAGCGAUGCCGCGUGAGUGAAGAAGGCCCUUGGGUUGUAAAGCUCUUUCGUCGGGGAAGAAAAUGACUGUACCCGAAUAAGAAGGUCCGGCUAACUUCGUGCCAGCAGCCGCGGUAAUACGAAGGGACCUAGCGUAGUUCGGAAUUACUGGGCUUAAAGAGUUCGUAGGUGGUUGAAAAAGUUGGUGGUGAAAUCCCAGAGCUUAACUCUGGAACUGCCAUCAAAACUUUUCAGCUAGAGUUUGAUAGAGGAAAGCAGAAUUUCUAGUGUAGAGGUGAAAUUCGUAGAUAUUAGAAAGAAUACCAAUUGCGAAGGCAGCUUUCUGGAUCAUUACUGACACUGAGGAACGAAAGCAUGGGUAGCGAAGAGGAUUAGAUACCCUCGUAGUCCAUGCCGUAAACGAUGUGUGUUAGACGUUGGAAAUUUAUUUUCAGUGUCGCAGCGAAAGCGAUAAACACACCGCCUGGGGAGUACGACCGCAAGGUUAAAACUCAAAUGAAUUGACGGGGACCCGCACAAGUAGUGGAGCAUGUGGUUUAAUUCGAAGAUACGCGCAGAACCUUACCAACACUUGACAUGUUCGUCGCGACUCUAAGAGAUUAGAGUUUUCGGUUCGGCCGGACGAAACACAGGUGCUGCAUGGCUGUCGUCAGCUCGUGUCGUGAGAUGUUGGGUUAAGUCCCGCAACGAGCGCAACCCUCACUUUUAGUUGCCAGCAUUAAGUUGGGCACUCUGAAAGAACUGCCAGUGAUAAGCUGGAGGAAGGUGGGGAUGACGUCAAGUCCUCAUGGCCCUUACGUGUUGGGCUACACACGUGCUACAAUGGUAUCUACAACAGGAAGCAAAACGGCAACGUUAAGCAAAUCCCGAAAAGAUACCUCAGUUCGGAUUGCACUCUGCAACUCGAGUGCAUGAAGCUGGAAUUACUAGUAAUCGUGGAUCAGCGUGCCACGGUGAAUGCGUUCCCGGGUCUUGCACUCACCGCCCGU
RNAcentral lists this ribosomal RNA (1342 nucleotides) under uncultured Alphaproteobacteria bacterium. RNAcentral describes it as "uncultured alpha proteobacterium 16S ribosomal RNA". It matches the Rfam family "Bacterial small subunit ribosomal RNA". Lineage: Bacteria; Pseudomonadati; Pseudomonadota; Alphaproteobacteria. The record is from RNAcentral.